CCGAGUUUACAACUCCCAAACCCCUGUGAACAUACCAAUUGUUGCCUCGGCGGAUCAGCCCGCUCCCGGUAAAACGGGACGGCCCGCCCGAGGACCCCUAAACUCUGUUUCUAUAUGUAACUUCUGAGUAAAACAUACAAUAAAUCA
Molecule: unclassified non-coding RNA, 147 nt
Filed under: soil metagenome
Description: partial internal transcribed spacer 1
Source: RNAcentral